ACAGGCGCAUCAUGACAACACCUUCAACGUGUUAAAAUGCAUUUGCUAGGUUUCAGAAUUCCAUGCACUCACAGUGGUUUGGCAUGCGUCUGGUAGAUUUUUUUUUUUUUAAGAAAAAUUAGUGUUGGUUUCGAUGUAUGGUAGCUUUUUCUCUAACGUAAUUUGAAUAAUUCAGCAAAGCCCCACUACCAGCUGUACUUCUGCAGCCUCUUCCAUUCUUUUCAGCAUUAUAAUUUUGGUUAAUUUUCAAUUUUAGGUCCUACGUCUCUGCAAUUUGUGUAUGAAUAACAGAAUAAUUUCCCUCUUUUGUUUCGCCUUUCCUGUUCCUGAAUCUAAAUAAAGAUGGCUUUUUAGUAUUAAAAGUGGAAGAAAAUUACAGGUAAUUAUCUUUGACGGUAAAAACGCUGUAAUCAGCGGGCUACAUGAAAAAUUACUCUAAUUAUGGCUGCAUUUAAGAGAAUGGAAAAAAACCUUCUUGUGGAUAAAAACCUUAAAUUGUCCCCAAUGUCUGCUUCAAAUUGGAUGGCACUGCAGCUGGAGGCUUUGUUCAGAAUUGAUCCUGGGGAGCUACGAACCCAAAGUUUCACAGUAGGAAGGGGGAAAAAAGAAAAGAAAACAUUUUUCCUAAUGUAACAAUGCGAAUGCUAGAAAAUGACAAGACUGAUCGGUUUUAAACCAUUCUGAGACUGACUGAGCGUGGAAGUUGCUCAACAAAAAAAGGAACGGGUAUAUUGGUCCCCUCCCUCAUCUCUCCUCAAUUAAGAGAAAAAAAUCCCCAGAGGUUGGUGCGACGGGAAGAGUACCAGCAUCGCUGCUCCCCAUUCUCUUUGGGGCUUCUGCCAUCUCCACCUCCGCCCCCCCCCCCCCCACGCCGGCCAUGUGGAUUUCUGUCCAAAGUGCAGGAGCGUUGGAUGGACCAAGAACUCUAUGGGCAGUAGAGCCGGUCACCAGUCAAGCCGGACGGCGCACUCCCAGGCACGAGCCCCGGCCGCUAAGAAGCCCAAGGCCAGCACCUGCAAGCCCGCCUGCGUGGGUGGGCGGCUGCUCCGCGGCUUCCAGCCCCCACCUCUCAGGAGAAGCGCCUGACUCAGGGAACGCCUGCAAGGAUGUCCUCUAAACCUCUCCAAGACCCCCAGUGAGGGCACGGAGACCCCAGAGAUCCAUCUCCUUGGAGCAGAAUGGCCUUUUCUGGAAAGGGAUCUCAGUGGGCGACAAAUAGCCACCAUUACGCCCUAAGCCUCCCGCGGGAAAGCUCCGAGUCUGGGCGCUGAGCUCUGGCAGACCCGCGUGCGGCGUCGCGCGGAGGACCGCGCCCACACGCGCUCCCGGAAUCGCAGUGAGCUCAUUCUCCCCGUUGCUGAGACAGAAGGAAAACCCACUUCUUUGGAGGAGCAUGACCUUUUCCUAUAUUGCUUCUCACUGGACUUCCUGAAUCCUGGCCCCAGACACCAUCAUCAAGAAGACCUUAUGGAUGGGCUACCUAUCCCCUGAGAGAAGAGGAACAUCAACGGCAGUUUCUAAAGAGAUUGCCUUCUUCAUUUCAAGUAAUGGCUGCAAUCAGGGUCAGAUUAAAGACAGACCAGCUGGACAACUGCUUGGAGGACCAACCUACGAGGGCACUAAAAUGUCCAUAGUAUGCUAACACGUACUUUAUAUUUCCGUGGAAAUAUAAAGAGAGGAAAAUGAUACUAGCACUAAUUUUAGGGAGAAGCCUGUCCUCUAGUAAAGAUCUGGCAAGUAGUAGUUUGAUGGAAACACUAAUUUAUUAGCCUACAUGUCUCUGCACUCUAGGGCUUGAAAAUGAAAACAUAAUCAGAGACUAUCUUCCAGUUCUAGGAUGUUAGCCCUUAUUAUAUCUUCAUUCACCUGGAGGUAAAUGUUAACUAACACAUUUAACUAACAUAGAUCAAAUCAAAUAGAGCUUGAACUCCCUGCCUAUGGGCUGGUUGAUUGGACUCUGUGUUGAGUUAAUUAGAUCAAUGGAGACACUGGGUGGAGUUGAGAUCUUUAAAAAUAUUUGGCUGAAGGGUGAUAUUACUGGGUAUUUGUAGAUGAGGACAUCAAAAAACAUUCUUAGAAUCAUGAAAUAUGGAACCGGUGGUCACAUUAAAAAUUUCAACUAGUAGUUAAGUACUUAUUGGACACCAGAGACUUAGGUAUAAGAUAGACAUGGUUCCUACAUCAAGGAGCUCACAUUCUAGAUUUCUCUUAGAUAUAAAGAGCAGUGGCCAUAGCAAACAACUGAACACAAAGGUAUUCUUGAGUCCAGGAUUCCAUUUAACAUAUUAAUUCCUAUUGCCUUAAUCAAGCCUAGUGAGCAUACAUUUAUAAGACUUACCAGUCUGCAUUCUAUAAAUGCUCUGUGAACCUGCCUAGAUUGUUUCCCUAGCAAGCUGCGUAAAGUCCCAUGGUGCCAGAGGAAGGGGGUAGGGUUAGUUAGAGAUUCUGGGGAGAGAGAUAUCAAGUGACAUGGGUCAGGAAAAAUGAAGAGAUAGAAUUUGGGAAGCAACUAUUGCUUCUGUUUCAUGUGGGGAAACUGUAGUGUGAAAAAUGCUAGGCUGGGAACUUUGAGACCUAGAUCUUUAUUCUAAUACAAACAAGCUGUGUGACUGUGGGCAGUCCACUUGGGGGCUUCUUGGGCCAUCCAAGACCCCUUCCAGCUCUAAAAAUGUUAACCUCAGGCCCCAGUCUACUGGACAACUGGCAAAUUUCUAACUCAGCUGUUCUCAAGCUGUUAGGUUAGUAGAUCUGCAACAGUCACUUGAUUGAUUGAUUUUUGGAGGAGUUUUUAUCAACCUUACAGGAUACAAUAAAUCUGCUUCUCCCCUUAGGAGUUGAGCAGGUUCUAGAAACACACCCUGUAGAGCUCAGAGAGGCUUUAUUCCUUCCUUUACCCUUUAUUCUCCUUCCUUUACCCUUUAUUCUAUCUGUGCCUCUCUCCCUCUCCUUUCCUUCAUCACACUUCCUUUGAGCAUAUACCACAUGAAAUGUACCAGGUGUGUGCUAGGUUUGGAGAUACAAGCUAAACUUGACAUUUCCCCACACUCCCACACUCCUUUCACAGGAGAGGGUACAAAACCCUCCUUGCUAUCAUCUGCUGGUGUUUCUUUUAGUGAGAAUCAGCCAUGUCCCAGGGGAGUGUGCUGGCGGUACUGCUGGGGUAAUGAGUUCUGGGCAGAUGUCCCAUUCUGCUCAAGCAGUUUUGAGGUGCCUUGACAUAUGCCCCUAGGCAAUCACUUAAACCCAGGGUCCAGAAAAAAAGGAAGAGACAAUCAUUUACUUAUUGGGAUAAAUCUGUAAAGGGACAGUCCUCUAUACAGUGAUGGCCACUGUCUGUCAUACCUCUUGCAACCCUCUCUGCCCAGGUGGGGAGAAUGUAGGUGAUUACUGCCUAAACUUAAAAAAAAAAAAAAAAACCUCUUUAAUAGAUAGACAUCUUUCAUUAUACUGUGCUUUAUAUUUCAUUAUGACCAGUGGCCUUUUUAAAUAUAUAUAUUUUAUAUUUUUCAAGAUCAGAUGGCUGAUAGGACUUAGAAGAGAAACAAAGAGCUUGGUAACUCACAUAAGUGGAAAGUUGACCAUGGAAUAACCGACAGCAUAUUCAAAUAUCUUAGUGAGUGCUAGAGGAGCUGCAGCAGAAAAGGAAACAUUCUGUCAACCAUCUCAUAUUUCCAAAUAUCUGGAUACUGGCCAUUGUGAAGACAAAAACUACAGAUGAUGGAUCUUUCCAACUCUCAUCUGCAUGGUCUGAAGUCUUGUAGCUCCAGCUGUUGACUCUAAGCCAAUUUACAUUUGUUUUCUUUAGCCCUCUUAAGAGAAAAUAAAAAUCUUAUUUUUCCAAGCAAUUAAAACUCUUCUGCUUCAGCUAGAAUGAAAGAAUUAGGAGUUAUUUCUCCUUGUGUAUAAUUGCAUGUUUCAUUUUUGUUGUUUAAUGAUUGACAGAAAACUGAUAAAUUGAGACAUCUUUGAAUCAGGUUGAAUGUACUCUCUUGGUGGCUCCAUUGCUAAUUUGUUUGACUAUUUCACAGCAUAUUUUGCUCUGUAAUGGAAAGGUUUAUUAAAUAUGAGGGGCGCAAAGCUGUCUGAAUACUAAUGAACUUAUUUGCCAAAAUUUAAAUGUUCCUUCUUAUUAGGAAAUGCCUGUCUCACUUAACAGGAUCCAAAUUGAAUAAUGAAGAAAAUUAAACUAUAUUGUAUCCUCAA
Molecule: long non-coding RNA, 4203 nt
Organism: Herpailurus yagouaroundi (jaguarundi)
Lineage: Eukaryota; Metazoa; Chordata; Mammalia; Carnivora; Felidae
Exons: 3
Source: RefSeq, a predicted model, not a curated record